Molecule: ribosomal RNA, 827 nt
Filed under: uncultured Glomus
Lineage: Eukaryota; Fungi; Glomeromycota; Glomeromycetes; Glomerales; Glomeraceae
Description: SSU rRNA
Rfam family: Eukaryotic small subunit ribosomal RNA
Source: RNAcentral
ACACUGACGACAUGGUUCUACAAUCAACUUUCGAUGGUAGGAUAGAGGCCUACCAUGGUGGUAACGGGUAACGGGGUGUUAGGGCACGACACCGGAGAGGGAGCCUGAGAAACGGCUACCACAUCCAAGGAUGGCAGCAGGCGCGCAAAUUACCCAAUCCCGACACGGGGAGGUAGUGACAAUAAAUAACAAUACGGGGUUCUUUAGGAUCUCGUAAUUGGGAUGAGUACAAUUUAAAUCUCUUAACGAGGAACAAUUGGAGGGCAAGUCUGGUGCCAGCAGCCGCGGUAAUUCCAGCUCCAAUAGCGUAUAUUAAAGUUGUUGCAGUUAAAAAGCUCGUAGUUGAAUUUCGGGGUUAGUAGGUUGGUCAUGCCUCCGGUAUGUACUGAUCUCACUGAUUCCUCCUUCCUUAUGAACCGUAAUGCCAUUAAUUUGGUGUUGCGGGGAAUUUGGACUGUUACUUUGAAAAAAUUAGAGUGUUUAAAGCAGGCUAACGCUUGAAUACAUUAGCAUGGAAUAAUGAAAUAGGACGUUCGAUCUUACUUUGUUGGUUUCUAGGAUUGACGUAAUGAUUAAUAGGGAUAGUUGGGGGCAUUAGUACUCAAUUGUCAGAGGUGAAAUUCGUUGGAUUUAUUGAAGACUAACUACUGCGAAAGCAUUUGCCAAGGAUGUUUUCAUUAAUCAAGAACGAAAGUUGGGGGCUCGAAGAUGAUCAGAUACCGUCCUAGUCUCAACCAUAAACGAUGCCGACCAGGGAUCGACGGAUGUUGCUUUUUGGUCUCUGUCAACACCUUAUUGGAAACCAAAGUGUUUGGGUUCAGACCAAG